Molecule: long non-coding RNA, 480 nt
Filed under: Prunus persica (peach)
Lineage: Eukaryota; Viridiplantae; Streptophyta; Magnoliopsida; Rosales; Rosaceae
Description: long non-coding RNA (PPER_LNC000806)
Source: RNAcentral
AGGGAUAACGUCAGCGGUGACGUCACGCUGACAUCAGCGAGUGAAUGUCAACGGUAAAAAAAAUAAAUUGAAAUGCACUCACUGACAUCAGCGCCUUCGAGCUGAAGCCCAGGCUAGAUCUGCCCUUGGGCUUGAUCGGGCUGGUAGGACCUAGGGUUGGCCCGGGCUCAUUUUCCUGCGCUGGAGGUCCAAACCGAGCUGAGGGAGGCCUUUUGCCCUGGCAGAUGAGCUACGGUGGACAUGCUCUAAGAGAUUGAAAAGGUCCAUAUGAAAGCGGAAGGGUGUUGAGAAUCAAAUGAACACGUAAUGAUUGAAAAAAUUCAACAUCAACUGACUUGAGCUAAGCCGAGAUUUCCCUUUUCUCCAUGAUAUGCUCAGACACUCCAAUGUACCAUUGUACCUCAUUUCCGAUACGUUUUUCAUAAGUGCUUGCCAAACCCUUGUCAGAACUUGAAGGUAAUCCUUCACUGUAAAUUUGAG